RNAcentral lists this ribosomal RNA (329 nucleotides) under uncultured eukaryote. RNAcentral's name for it is "partial 18S ribosomal RNA". It matches the Rfam family "Eukaryotic small subunit ribosomal RNA", at positions 1470 to 1796 of the family's 1831-position model. The record is from RNAcentral.
CCCUUAGAUGUUCUGGGCCGCACGCGUGCUACACUGACCGGCGCAACAAGUUUCUUUCCUUGGCUCGAUAGGCCUGGGUAAUCUUUGAACGCCGGUCGUGAUGGGGAUAGAUCCUUGCAAUUUUUGAUCUUCAACGAGGAAUUCCUAGUAAAUGCGAGUCAUCAUCUCGCGUUGAUUACGUCCCUGCCCUUUGUACACACCGCCCGUCGCACCUACUGAUUGGAUGACUCGGUGAAGAAUCGGGACCGUGAGAACAAUCGAUUCAUUUCGAAUGUACUUGUGGGAACCUUUCUUAACCUCGUUUUCUAGAAGAAGGUGAAGUCGUAACA